UGAGUACGAGCUGCUACGGCAGCGAAGUGGGUGAUGUCAUGCUUCCAAGAAAAGCCCUAUACCCGUUAAGGCAUGAUGGCCUGUACCCGAAACCGACACAGGUGGGGUGGUAGAGAAUACCGAGGGGCGCGAGGUAACUCUCUCUAAGGAACUCGGCAAAAUGGCCCCGUAACUUCGGGAGAAGGGGUGCCACCGCAAGGUGGUCGCAGUGAAGAGGCCCAGGCGACUGUUUACCAAAAACACAGGUCUCCGCUAAGUCGCAAGACGAUGUAUGGGGGCUGACGCCUGCCCAGUGCCGGAAGGUGAAGGAAGCUGGUCAGCGUAAGCGAAGCUAGCGACUGAAGCCCCGGUGAACGGCGGCCGUAACUAUAACGGUCCUAAGGUAGCGAAAUUCCUUGUCGGGUAAGUUCCGACCCGCACGAAAGGCGUAACGAUCUGGGCGCUGUCUCGGAGAGAGGCUCGGCGAAAUAGAAUUGUCUGUGAAGAUGCGGACUACGUGCACCCGGACAGAAAGACCCUAUGAAGCUUUACUGUAGCUUGGUAUUGUGCUCGGGCUCGGAAUGCGCAGGAUAGGUGGGAGGCUAUGAACCGUUGCUCGUGGGUGAUGGUGAGCCACUGGUGAGAUACCACUCUUUCCGAGCUAGAGUUCUAACAGCCACCCGUUAUCCGGGGGCUGGACAGUAUCAGGUGGGCAGUUUGACUGGGGCGGUCGCCUCCUAAAAGGUAACGGAGGCGCGCAAAGGUUUGCUCAGGCUGGUUGGAAAUCAGCCGACGAGUGUAAAAGCAGAAGCAAGCUUGACUGUGAGACCUACAAGUCGAACAGGGAGGAAACUCGGCUUUAGUGAUCCGACGGUUCUGCGUGGAAGGGCCGUCGCUCAACGGAUAAAAGUUACUCUAAGGAUAACAGGCUGAUCUCCCCCAAGAGUUCACAUCGACGGGGAGGUUUGGCACCUCGAUGUCGGCUCAUCGCAACCUGGGGCUGAAGUCGGUCCCAAGGGUUGGGCUGUUCGCCCAUUAAAGCGGUACGCGAGCUGGGUUCAGAACGUCGUGAGACAGUUCGGUCCAUAUCCGGUGCAUGCGCAGGAAUAUUGAGAGGAUUUCUCCCUAGUACGAGAGGACCGGGAGGAACGCACCUCUGGUGUACCAGUUAUCGUGCCAACGGUAAACGCUGGGUAGCCAUGUGCGGAGAGGAUAACCGCUGAAAGCAUCUAAGUGGGAAGCCCACCUCAAGAUGAGUAUUCCCAUGGGGUAACCCAGUAAGGUCACGGGAAGAACACCCGUUGAUAGGCUCUACGUGGAAGCGCAGUAAUGUGUGAAGCGGAGGAGUACUAAUAGACCGAGGGCUUG
RNAcentral lists this ribosomal RNA (1347 nucleotides) under metagenome. RNAcentral describes it as "bacterial LSU rRNA". It matches the Rfam family "Bacterial large subunit ribosomal RNA", at positions 1564 to 2925 of the family's 2925-position model. The record is from RNAcentral.